GCCUGGCUGGCUCAGUAGGUAGAGCAGGCGACUCUUGAUCUCAGGGUCAUGAGUUCAAGCCCCAUGUGGGACA
This 73-nucleotide transfer RNA is filed under the name Ailuropoda melanoleuca (giant panda). It matches the Rfam family "tRNA". From Rfam's summary of the family: Transfer RNA (tRNA) molecules are approximately 80 nucleotides in length. Their secondary structure includes four short double-helical elements and three loops (D, anti-codon, and T loops). Further hydrogen bonds mediate the characteristic L-shaped molecular structure. tRNAs have two regions of fundamental functional importance: the anti-codon, which is responsible for specific mRNA codon recognition, and the 3' end, to which the tRNAs corresponding amino acid is attached (by aminoacyl-tRNA synthetases). tRNAs cope with the degeneracy of the genetic code in two manners: having more than one tRNA (with a specific anti-codon) for a particular amino acid; and 'wobble' base-pairing, i.e. permitting non-standard base-pairing at the 3rd anti-codon position. Lineage: Eukaryota; Metazoa; Chordata; Mammalia; Carnivora; Ursidae. The record is from Rfam by way of RNAcentral.